UUCGGGAACCGUUUCGUUUUU
RNAcentral lists this non-coding RNA (21 nucleotides) under Caenorhabditis elegans. Lineage: Eukaryota; Metazoa; Nematoda; Chromadorea; Rhabditida; Rhabditidae. The record is from RNAcentral.